GGUACACACAAGCACAAUCCAACUGACCGUCACGAAUCAUAUCAAAGAAGGCGAUCGAUGGCCCAACACCGUGUGCAGAGGCACAACCGAUGUAGUCGUGUAGGCCGAUGUGCUGCUGCGCAGGACCGGAAGUUUCGAUGAUGGGAUCUUCAAAGACCGAGAUCAGGGCAGUUCUCAUGGACGAAGAGGGAGUGAGGCUGGGAUUUUCAAUCGCUUUGCACAUGAGGAAGUUCAAGUCAGACAUGUCUGAGAAAUGCUUGUUGCUGUCUUUGGCAUUUGAGAAGGAAAAAUAGCAUCGCUUUGCCACUUCCCAUAGUGUAUCUUCAGCUGAUAUGUCAUGUGUGUUGAGGAUGGCAGAGUGAUAGAAUCCUAAAUGGUGGCUUGUGAGGGGAGGAUCAAGGAGGGAACGACAAUCAUUGAGAGUAACAACAGCAUAUUUCUCCCUCUGGUGAGGAGGAAGGUCCUUAGAACAACGAGUAGCAAUCAAUCCAGCAGCUGCCAAAGCUCCACAGAGCUUAAUGCCUCUCGAUUUGCAGCCAGCGAGAAGUUUCUGAGUCUCAUCGGAGUUCAUCUUCAACCUAAUCAUCUGAGAAAAUCUUUCAGAAUUCGCGUCUUUGAAUUCCAAAUUCGCUAAUCGGAACGAAUUCAAGGAGUAACCAAGCAUAUCUAAUCCACGCGCCCACAGAGAUUUAUUCGCUUUACCGUUAGGGAUUAGAUUUUCAAUCCCUAAUCCGAUCUCACCAUUAUCCCCAAUUUCAAAUCCUCCGCCCUCUAUUUCCCCUCCGGCCGCCACAAGCACUAGCAGUUCUCUCAACAGUGCCGCCGCCGCGGCACGAUCGCAUGUCGCCGUGUGGAGGCGGAGGAAUACCGCCCAUUGGCUGUCGCAUACGGUGUAGACGGUAGCGAACAUCACGUCGGUGUCGGAGUACGACGGAUGGUUUGGAUCGAACCACGUGGCGCGGUUGAUCUCCGUUUCGUGGAUCUUGUGGAAAUCGGAGACGGAAGGAUCCUUGGCGUCGGGAUGAGAGGCGAUAGCGCUUGCGGUGGCGGCGAGGUCGAGGAUCUGGAGGUUAAGCGGCGGAGAAGGAGGAAUGAGGAAGGAGAAAUCUCGUCGGGAAGGAUCGUGGUGGAUUUUGGAGCGGAGGAUUGGGUGGAGGUUUUGGAGAGUGUGGAGGGAGGAUUGGAGAUGGGGAAUAUCGGGAGGUUUUGAGAGGAGUAGGCCGAGGACAGUGGUGCCGGUGCCGCCGGGGACGGCGCGGCACCAGCUGUGCUCGGUGCCACCGACGGGACGGGACUCGGACUCGCCGGCGGGAGGAGGAGGAGGAGGAGAUUGAUCAGACAUUUCGGAGGCGGGAACGG
This 1359-nucleotide unclassified non-coding RNA is filed under the name Hevea brasiliensis (rubber tree). The record is from RNAcentral. Lineage: Eukaryota; Viridiplantae; Streptophyta; Magnoliopsida; Malpighiales; Euphorbiaceae.